Nothoprocta perdicaria is the source of this 478-nucleotide long non-coding RNA. RefSeq lists it as uncharacterized. The transcript has 3 exons. NCBI's taxonomy places the organism in Eukaryota, Metazoa, Chordata, Aves, Tinamiformes, Tinamidae. The record is from RefSeq and is a predicted model, not a curated record.
AGAAGCCUGGCAGAUCCUGCUCAGUGGAGUUCUCCCAUGCAGGGGCUAUAUUUGCUUCUGCUUCCUGGCACCUGCUCAGGCUAUAGGCUGCUCUGGUACUUUACACACAAAGGGCCCUCAGUGCAGAGCUGCUCUUUUCAGAGGACAAGCAUCUUUCCUGAUCUGACCCGUUGGCAGGACCUUGACAAGCUCCUCAGCAACAAGCUCUCCUCUCGGUUGCUGCUGUUUGGGUGAGAAAACCCCAUAGACACAUUGCACCUCUCAGUCACCAGAUUUAUGUGCCUAAAAUUACGGCAGGAAGUUACAAGGAGAUAGACCCUCCAGAUAGGGACUGAGGCUUUGAAAUAUCUGGGCUCCAGCUGUGACUGGAGAGCAAACGGAAGGGUUUUGCAAGCAGCAUGUUUGCCUGGUGCAGCUGCCUUGUGUGGAGCCACGUGCUCCCAAAGGAGCUGCCUGCAGUGGUGCAAAGUGCCUGCAA